This 309-nucleotide ribosomal RNA is filed under the name uncultured bacterium. RNAcentral's name for it is "partial 16S ribosomal RNA". It matches the Rfam family "Bacterial small subunit ribosomal RNA", at positions 504 to 807 of the family's 1533-position model. The record is from RNAcentral.
AGAGACAGCAGUAGCCGCGGGAAAACGAAGGGUGCAAGCGUUACUCGGAAUUACUGGGCGUAAAGCGCACGCAGGCGGUCUGUCAAGUCAGAUGUGAAAUCCCCGGGCUUAACCUGGGAACUGCAUUUGAAACUGGCAGGCUAGAGUCUUGUAGAGGGGGGUAGAAUUCCAGGUGUAGCGGUGAAAUGCGUAGAGAUCUGGAGGAAUACCGGUGGCGAAGGCGGCCCCCUGGACAAAGACUGACGCUCAGGUGCGAAAGCGUGGGGAGCAAACAGGAUUAGAUACCCCUGUAGUCCCUGUCUCUUAUAC